AGGUAGCUUGCUACCAGACGUCGAGCGGCGGACGGGUGAGUAAUGCUUAGGAAUCUACCGAGUAGUGGGGGAUAGCCAUUGGAAACGAUGAUUAAUACCGCAUAUAUCCUACGGGGGAAAGCAGGGGACCUUCGGGCCUUGCGCUAUUCGAUGAGCCUGAGUGAGAUUAGCUAGUUGGUGGGGUAAAGGCCUACCAAGGCGACGAUCUCUAGCUGGUCUGAGAGGAUGAUCAGCUACACUGGGACUGAGACACGGCCCAGACUCCUACGGGAGGCAGCAGUGGGGAAUAUUGCACAAUGGACGAAAGUCUGAUGCAGCCAUGCCGCGUGUGUGAAGAAGGCCUUCGGGUUGUAAAGCACUUUCAGCGAGGAGGAAAGGUUAGUCGUUAAUAUCGGCUAGCUGUGACGUUACUCGCAGAAGAAGCACCGGCUAAUUUAGUGCCAGCAGCCGCGGUAAUACUAAAGGUGCAAGCGUUAAUCGGAAUUACUGGGCGUAAAGCGCGCGUAGGUGGUUUGUUAAGUUGGAUGUGAAAGCCCAGGGCUCAACCUUGGAACUGCAUUCAAAACUGACUCACUAGAGUACGAGAGAGGUUAGUGGAAUUUCCUGUGUAGCGGUGAAAUGCGUAGAGAUGGGAAGGAACACCAGUGGCGAAG
This 653-nucleotide ribosomal RNA is filed under the name uncultured bacterium. RNAcentral's name for it is "bacterial SSU rRNA". It matches the Rfam family "Bacterial small subunit ribosomal RNA", at positions 73 to 720 of the family's 1533-position model. The record is from RNAcentral.